CGUCCUCUCAGGGUUAGUCGGGACCUAAGCCGAGGCCGACAGGCGUAGGCGAUGGAUAACAGGUUGAUAUUCCUGUACCACCUCCCUACCAUUUGAGUAAUGGGGGGACACAGUAGGAUAGGGUAAGCGCACUGUUGGUUAUGUGCGUUCAAGCAGUAAGACGUGAGGGUAGGCAAAUCCGCUCUCUAUAACGUUGAGCUGUGAUGACGAGCUCUUAUGAGCGAAGUUCCUGAUUUCACACUGUCAAGAAAAGCCUCUAGCGAGGUAGGAGGUGCCCGUACCGCAAACCGACACAGGUAGUCGAGGAGAGAAUCCUAAGGUGAGCGAGAGAACUCUCGUUAAGGAACUCGGCAAAAUGACCCCGUAACUUCGGGAGAAGGGGUGCUCUAGUAGGGUGCAAGCCCGAGAGAGCCGCAGUGAAUAGGCCCAGGCGACUGUUUAGCAAAAACACAGGUCUCUGCAAAACCGUAAGGUGACGUAUAGGGGCUGACGCCUGCCCGGUGCUGGAAGGUUAAGGGGAUUGCUUAGCGUAAGCGAAGGUGAGAACCGAAGCCCCAGUAAACGGCGGCCGUAACUAUAACGGUCCUAAGGUAGCGAAAUUCCUUGUCGGGUAAGUUCCGACCCGCACGAAAGGCGUAACGAUCUGGGCACUGUCUCAACGAGAGACUCGGUGAAAUUAUAGUACCUGUGAAGAUGCAGGUUACCCGCGACAGGACGGAAAGACCCCGUGGAGCUUUACUGUAGCCUGAUAUUGAAUUUUGGUACAGCUUGUACAGGAUAGGUAGGAGCCGUAGAAACCGGAGCGCCAGCUUCGGUGGAGGCGUCCUUGGGAUACUACCCCAGCUGUAUUGAAAUUCUAACCCAUACCCCUAAGCGGGGUAGGAGACAGUGUCAGGCGGACAGUUUGACUGGGGCGGUCGCCUCCUAAAGAGUAACGGAGGCGCCCAAAGGUUCCCUCAGAAUGGUUGGAAAUCAUUCGYAGAGUGUAAAGGCACAAGGGAGCUUGACUGCGAGACCUACAAGUCGAGCAGGGUCGAAAGACGGGCUUAGUGAUCCGGUGGUUCCGCAUGGAAGGGCCAUCGCUCAACGGAUAAAAGCUACCCCGGGGAUAACAGGCUUAUCUCCCCCAAGAGUCCACAUCGACGGGGAGGUUUGGCACCUCGAUGUCGGCUCAUCGCAUCCUGGGGCUGUAGUCGGUCCCAAGGGUUGGGCUGUUCGCCCAUUAAAGCGGUACGCGAGCUGGGUUCAGAACGUCGUGAGACAGUUCGGUCCCUAUCCGUCGUGGGCGUAGGAAAUUUGAGAGGAGCUGUCCUUAGUACGAGAGGACCGGGAUGGACACACCGCUGGUGUACCAGUUGUCUUGCCAAAGGCAUCGCUGGGUAGCUAUGUGUGGACGGGAUAAGUGCUGAAAGCAUCUAAGCAUGAAGCCCCCCUCAAGAUGAGAUUUCCCAUUACGCAAGUAAGUAAGAUCCCUUGAAGACGACAAGGUAGAUAGGUUCGAGGUGGAAGUGUGGUGACACAUGGAGCUGACGAAUACUAAUAGAUCGAGGACUUAACCAAA
RNAcentral lists this ribosomal RNA (1561 nucleotides) under Mesorhizobium sp. LCM 4577. RNAcentral's name for it is "bacterial LSU rRNA". It matches the Rfam family "Bacterial large subunit ribosomal RNA", at positions 1368 to 2925 of the family's 2925-position model. Lineage: Bacteria; Pseudomonadati; Pseudomonadota; Alphaproteobacteria; Hyphomicrobiales; Phyllobacteriaceae. The record is from RNAcentral.